GAAAUAACUUGCUAGGAGGCCUAUCCCUCUGGACUUCUUACGUGUCUCAUGCCAGAUCAAACUGUGAUCCUGAACCAUUGCCUGACCUCUGUGCCUGUAGGUUGCUGGAACUGAAGUGGGUUGCACAGUG
RNAcentral lists this small nucleolar RNA (130 nucleotides) under Sciurus vulgaris (Eurasian red squirrel). RNAcentral's name for it is "Small nucleolar RNA SNORA42/SNORA80 family (ENSSVLG00005021824.1)". It matches the Rfam family "Small nucleolar RNA SNORA42/SNORA80 family". Rfam says of the family: The members of this family belong to the H/ACA class of snoRNAs that guide the sites of modification of uridines to pseudouridines. Human ACA42 (SNORA42) was cloned from HeLa cells by immunoprecipitation with anti-GAR1 antibody. The record is from Rfam by way of RNAcentral. Lineage: Eukaryota; Metazoa; Chordata; Mammalia; Rodentia; Sciuridae.